UGUUUGAUGUUCUAACGUGGACCCGUAAUCCGGGUUGCGGACAGUGUCUGGUGGGUAGUUUGACUGGGGCGGUCUCCUCCUAAAGAGUAACGGAGGAGCACGAAGGUUGGCUAAUCCUGGUCGGACAUCAGGAGGUUAGUGCAAUGGCAUAAGCCAGCUUGACUGCGAGCGUGACGGCGCGAGCAGGUGCGAAAGCAGGUCAUAGUGAUCCGGUGGUUCUGAAUGGAAGGGCCAUCGCUCAACGGAUAAAAGGUACUCCGGGGAUAACAGGCUGAUACCGCCCAAGAGUUCAUAUCGACGGCGGUGUUUGGCACCUCGAUGUCGGCUCAUCACAUCCUGGGGCUGAAGUAGGUCCCAAGGGUAUGGCUGUUCGCCAUUUAAAGUGGUACGCGAGCUGGGUUUAGAACGUCGUGAGACAGUUCGGUCCCUAUCUGCCGUGGGCGCUGGAGAACUGAGGGGGGCUGCUCCUAGUACGAGAGGACCGGAGUGGACGCAUCACUGGUGUUCGGGUUGUCAUGCCAAUGGCACUGCCCGGUAGCUACAUGCGGAAGAGAUAAGUGCUGAAAGCAUCUAAGCACGAAACUUGCCCCGAGAUGAGUUCUCCCUGAGACUUUAGGUCUCC
Molecule: ribosomal RNA, 622 nt
Filed under: Salmonella enterica subsp. enterica serovar Stanley
Lineage: Bacteria; Pseudomonadati; Pseudomonadota; Gammaproteobacteria; Enterobacterales; Enterobacteriaceae
Description: partial 23S ribosomal RNA
Rfam family: Bacterial large subunit ribosomal RNA
Source: RNAcentral